This 510-nucleotide ribosomal RNA is filed under the name uncultured Glomus. Its description in RNAcentral is "SSU rRNA". It matches the Rfam family "Eukaryotic small subunit ribosomal RNA", at positions 569 to 1081 of the family's 1831-position model. The record is from RNAcentral. Lineage: Eukaryota; Fungi; Glomeromycota; Glomeromycetes; Glomerales; Glomeraceae.
AGCAGCCGCGGUAAUUCCAGCUCCAAUAGCGUAUAUUAAAGUUGUUGCAGUUAAAAAGCUCGUAGUUGAAUUUCGGGAUCAAUUUGCUGGUCGUGCCUUUGGUACGCACUGGUAUUAUUGGUUUCUCCUUUCUGAUGAAUCGCGAUGUCAUUAAUUUGGUGUCGUGGGGAAUCAGGACCGUUACUUUGAAAAAAUUAGAGUGUUUAAAGCAGGCUCACGCUUGAAUACAUUAGCAUGGAAUAAUGAAAUAGGACGUUUGAUUCUAUUUUGUUGGUUUCUAGGAUCGACGUAAUGAUUAAUAGGGAUAGUUGGGGGCAUUAGUAUUCAAUUGUCAGAGGUGAAAUUCUUGGAUUUAUUGAAGACUAACUACUGCGAAAGCAUUUGCCAAGGAUGUUUUCAUUAAUCAAGAGCGAAAGUUAGGGGAUCGAAGACGAUCAGAUACCGUCGUAGUCUUAACCAUAAACUAUGCCGACUAGGGAUCGGAUGAUGUUAAUUUUUAAUGACUCAUUC